UACAGAGGGUGCGAGCGUUAAUCGGAAUUACUGGGCGUAAAGCGCACGUAGGCGGCUUGGCAUGUCGGGUGUGAAAUCCCCGGGCUCAACCUGGGAACUGCAUCCGAAACUGCCUUGCUCGAGUAUGGGAGAGGGAAGUGGAAUUUCCGGUGUAGCGGUGAAAUGCGUAGAUAUCGGAAGGAACAUCAGGGGCGAAGGCGACUUCCUGGACCAAUACUGGCGCUCAGGUGCGAAGGCGUGGGGAGCAAACAGG
RNAcentral lists this ribosomal RNA (253 nucleotides) under uncultured bacterium. RNAcentral describes it as "partial 16S ribosomal RNA". It matches the Rfam family "Bacterial small subunit ribosomal RNA", at positions 524 to 776 of the family's 1533-position model. The record is from RNAcentral.